This 216-nucleotide long non-coding RNA is filed under the name Elaeis guineensis (African oil palm). RNAcentral describes it as "long non-coding RNA (EGUI_LNC069582)". Lineage: Eukaryota; Viridiplantae; Streptophyta; Magnoliopsida; Arecales; Arecaceae. The record is from RNAcentral.
UCUAAUAUCAAUAAUUUUUUUUUUGUAUCAAACCAUAUCAUCUAUCAUAAUUCUUUAACUCAAAGGGUCAACAUUCCUGACUUACUCAAAGUAAUCCAGAUUACCAUGCUUUCGUUGCGCACUCUGAUCUAACAAUCAAAAUUUCUUAGGUUCAUCAAAAAAAGUUUGAUCAAAUUAUUUCUUUAUCUUAUCAAUAGAAAAGAUCUAAAAUUUUAA